UUUUUUUUUUUUUUAAUUUUUUGUAAAGACGGGAUCUUACUAUGUUCCCUAGGCUGAUCUUGACCUCCUGGGCUCAAGCAAUCCUCCCAGCUUAGCCUCCCAAAGUGCUGAGAUUUACAGGUUUGAGCCACGAAGCCCAGCCAGUGUAUCUUCACUUAAAGAUGACAAAAUUAAGGAUCAGAGUGGUUACGUAGCUUGCCCAUGGUCACAUCGCUAGCAAUGGCACAGGGAGGAGUUAAACCUGAUUCCACCUUAUUCCAAAAUCUGAGCUCUAACCAUUAUGCUCUACUGCACCCCUACUACUGAGCCUGCAUGGAUCACUGUGCCAGGGGAGGUUCCCACACAGACAGACAGGUUCAGGUGCAGACAGACAGGUAAACAGGUGGUUAUGAUCAGGUGCUGUUGUAGAGGUAUGACAACAUGCCACAUGCAUAGUGAGCUAUGUUCUAGAUCCCGGCCCAGUUAAUUGGACAGCUGGAUUUUCCAGGACGGCAAGAGGUAAGUGAGAUCUCCUGUACCCUCCUUUGCUCAGGGAGAGAGAAAUGUGGGAAUUGGAAAGAAGCUAUUUGGAGCUUGAGUCAAAUAAUUCAAUGCUUCAGACAGAACUGCACAGAGCUAAUAGAGUGACCCUUGUAAAGUAAAAAAGCUCAGAGGGAGUUGAGAGCCACAAUAAUGCCAGGAUUGCUGGCACUGAGAUAGGGUCUCUCUCUGUCACCUCCCUCCCAGGAGGAGGGAGGAAUGAGAAGUGGGUGAUAAGGGGUAAUAGAUUUCUUUGGGGGUGAUAAGAAUAUGCUGACAGUAGACAGCGAUGAUGGUUAUACAAUUCUGGAUACAUUUAAAAACACUAAACUGUACACUUCUAAAGGGUCAGUUUUACAGUAUGUGAAUUAUAUCUCGAUAAAAUAUGUUUUAAAAAGGAAGAAAGUGUAGGCUAUUUUUCCUUAAGAAGAAACACCUCAGGCUGGGCGCAGUGGCUCACACCUGUAAUCCCAGCACUUUGGGAGGCCAAGGAGGGCAGAUCACAAGGUCAAGAGAUCGAGACCAUCCUGGCCAAUAUGGUGAAACCCCCAUCUCUACUAAAAAUACAAAAAUUAGCCAGGCGUGGUAGCGCGCGCUUGUAGUCCCAGCUACUUGGGAGGCUGAGGCAGGAAAAUCGCUUGAACCCGGGAGGCGGAGGUUGCAGUGAGCCGAGAUCACACCGCUGCAGUCCAGCCUGGUGACAGAGCGAGACUCUGUCUAAAAAAAAGAAACACCUCCACCUCCUUUCCUCUGCACCCACCUGCCCUGUGAGGUGUGCUGGCCCCCAGGCAGGAUGGGCGCCCAUUAGGCACUGGAGGUAUAGCCCUGAGGCCCAACAAAAUGAUUAAUUUUCGUUUCUUUUACAAGCAGAGGAAUUUGAACAUAAUAAUAAUGAAUCUGUCAUAGUGAAUUCAUCUUGGCUUGUGUUUGUCUUUAUACCAAUGCAGUCAUGAAAUGUUAUUUUUAACAGUUUUCUAUGAAGGAAAGCGCCCACAGAAGCAAAAGUGCUGAGGCCUGUGGUAGUCAUAAGGCCCUAGGUAACCCAUGAGGAACUCAGUCUCAGGCUUCGCAC
This 1591-nucleotide long non-coding RNA is filed under the name Macaca fascicularis (crab-eating macaque). RNAcentral describes it as "lncRNA (ENSMFAG00000059665.1)". Lineage: Eukaryota; Metazoa; Chordata; Mammalia; Primates; Cercopithecidae. The record is from RNAcentral.